AGAAGCAGAGGGGGCUUAGUGGUGGGGUGACUGCGUACCUUUUGUAUAAUGGGUCAGCGACUUAUAUUCUGUAGCAAGGUUAACCGUAUAGGGGAGCCGGAGGGAAACCGAGUCUUAACCGGGCGUUAAGUUGCAGGGUAUAGACCCGAAACCCGGUGAUCUAGCCAUGGGCAGGUUGAAGGUUGGGUAACACUAACUGGAGGACCGAACCGACUAAUGUUGAAAAAUUAGCGGAUGACCUGUGGCUGGGGGUGAAAGGCCAAUCAAACCGGGAGAUAGCUGGUUCUCCCCGAAAGCUAUUUAGGUAGCGCCUCGUGAAUUCAUCUCCGGGGGUAGAGCACUGUUUCGGCUAGGGGGCCAUCCCGGCUUACCAACCCGAUGCAAACUGCGAAUACCGGAGAAUGUUAUCACGGGAGACACACGGCGGGUGCUAACGUCCGUCGUGAAGAGGGAAACAACCCAGACCGCCAGCUAAGGUCCCAAAGUCAUGGUUAAGUGGGAAACGAUGUGGGAAGGCCCAGACAGCCAGGAUGUUGGCUUAGAAGCAGCCAUCAUUUAAAGAAAGCGUAAUAGCUCACUGGUCGAGUCGGCCUGCGCGGAAGAUGUAACGGGGCUAAACCAUGCACCGAAGCUGCGGCAGCGACACUGUGUGUUGUUGGGUAGGGGAGCGUUCUGUAAGCCUGUGAAGGUGUGCUGUGAGGCAUGCUGGAGGUAUCAGAAGUGCGAAUGCUGACAUAAGUAACGAUAAAGCGGGUGAAAAGCCCGCUCGCCGGAAGACCAAGGGUUCCUGUCCAACGUUAAUCGGGGCAGGGUGAGUCGACCCCUAAGGCGAGGCCGAAAGGCGUAGUCGAUGGGAAACGGGUUAAUAUUCCCGUACUUGGUGUUACUGCGAAGGGGGGACGGAGAAGGCUAUGUUGGCCGGGCGACGGUUGUCCCGGUUUAAGCGUGUAGGUGUGUGUUCCAGGUAAAUCCGGUUCACUUUAACACUGAGGCGUGAUGACGAGGCACUACGGUGCUGAAGCAACAAAUGCCCUGCUUCCAGGAAAAGCCUCUAAGCAUCAGGUAACAUCAAAUCGUACCCCAAACCGACACAGGUGGUCAGGUAGAGAAUACCAAGGCGCUUGAGAGAACUCGGGUGAAGGAACUAGGCAAAAUGGUGCCGUAACUUCGGGAGAAGGCACGCUGACACGUAGGUGAAGUGAUUUACUCACGGAGCUGAAGUCAGUCGAAGAUACCAGCUGGCUGCAACUGUUUAUUAAAAACACAGCACUGUGCAAACACGAAAGUGGACGUAUACGGUGUGACGCCUGCCCGGUGCCGGAAGGUUAAUUGAUGGGGUCAGCGCAAGCGAAGCUCCUGAUCGAAGCCCCGGUAAACGGCGGCCGUAACUAUAACGGUCCUAAGGUAGCGAAAUUCCUUGUCGGGUAAGUUCCGACCUGCACGAAUGGCGUAAUGAUGGCCAGGCUGUCUCCACCCGAGACUCAGUGAAAUUGAACUCGCUGUGAAGAUGCAGUGUACCCGCGGCAAGACGGAAAGACCCCGUGAACCUUUACUAUAGCUUGACACUGAACAUUGAGCCUUGAUGUGUAGGAUAGGUGGGAGGCUUUGAAGCGUGGACGCCAGUCUGCGUGGAGCCGACCUUGAAAUACCACCCUUUAA
RNAcentral lists this ribosomal RNA (1659 nucleotides) under Salmonella enterica. RNAcentral's name for it is "partial 23S ribosomal RNA". It matches the Rfam family "Bacterial large subunit ribosomal RNA", at positions 566 to 2210 of the family's 2925-position model. Lineage: Bacteria; Pseudomonadati; Pseudomonadota; Gammaproteobacteria; Enterobacterales; Enterobacteriaceae. The record is from RNAcentral.